RNAcentral lists this unclassified non-coding RNA (2094 nucleotides) under Cyanidioschyzon merolae strain 10D. RNAcentral describes it as "hypothetical transcript". The record is from RNAcentral. Lineage: Eukaryota; Rhodophyta; Bangiophyceae; Cyanidiales; Cyanidiaceae.
AUCUCGGACGCUGCUUCUGUCUAUCCAGUACGCGCAGGUGCCUGGAGCCAUGGAUAUGACUUGCUAGCGCUGAUCCUCUUCUAGUUGCAGGCUGCACGAGUUGGUAUGAUGUCACGCGUGACGCCGCGUCCCGCAAGGUGUCUGCUGGACGGCACUGUCUGCGGGUAACGGGUAUGGCGUGCUGCUACGGGUUGCUGUUACAGUGGACGCGCACCGCACAGGGGUUUUCAGUGCAGGUUUUGAGCGGGGCUCUGCGAAUGCAAACACGAAUGCUUGGGCGUCAGUGUGACUUGGCGUCACGUUCGUGCAGACCGAGCUUAUCGGGAACGGGUGCACGAUACACGCUGCCAUUAGCUUCUGAUCGCCCGGCGGAGGAGGUUGGUACGACGCAGUCUUGGUCGUUUCUCCUCAAGCCGUCGUUUCUUCUGAGGCACUUACUAAGACUCUUUACGGCUCGUCGGCAUUCGUUUGGUGCAGCGGUAAAGCAUCCAGGCGGCUUUUGGUGCACCAAGCGGUCCGUUUCGAGACUUGUUCACAGUGCGUUGCGCUUGUGACCGGGUUGCUUCGCAUCCUUGGUCAAUUGAUAUCGGAAUAUGUGUCACGCUUGUGUGGCCGCGCAACGACGUUGCCGGUUGAUUGAAGACUCUCUUGACGGAGGCAAACAUCGACGAGCGAGAAGUUUCCAUUUGCUGCGAUCGAUUGCUUGAGUCUUUCGGAAUCAAGCCUUGGUGUAUAUCUAGUUAAUUCAGGCAAUCGUGAUCGCUAUCUGCGAAAUUCCCGCUGUCUCGCCAACAUCAUCCGAUUUGGGCUUCUGAGGCAGUGCGGGAACCAUAGCAGUGGACGAACUUUGCGAAUGGCCGUCCUCACGUCUGAGAACGACAAAGGAGUAACACCACACGCGUCAAGCAUCCUAGCUGGAACUCUAUGCAGUGUGGAACGAUGUGGCAUGCUCGCGAAUACCGAAUCAUGGAAGAGCAUUAUCGUUUGUCCAUUUUCUGAGCAAAGCGUUCCCGGUUUAUGUAUAUUGGACUGCAUCCUUGCUGGUUUGUUGAUCAUUCUGUACCAGAGGAUUGCUCCGGGCGAGAAGAAGUUGUCCGGCGCUUGGCCACGUAUCCCUUUUCAUCAAAAGUCUUCAGCAUUUUAGCAAAAUGCACUUACUGAUUGCUUAGAGAUUUCCGCGAAAGUUCGCUCGACACAAAACCGCGGGACGUUUCGGAUACAUGUGAAAUUUCCGAAUGUUGUUUCCAAGGUGUUCGAGUCCUGGUGCGGAAAGUGCCUGCGCGCAUAGUUGCUAGAGAAACCGCACCAUCACAAGCCACUGAACUGCGUUUGCCUCAUAAUCUGUCAUUCGGUGAGCUCACUGCACACCUUCCCGUGCACCUGUCUCUAUUUCGUGCUCUGUCUCUGUGACGGUGUCAAUGUACACCUGGAAUCGUGGUGCAUGUAUGGCGCCCAGAAUUUUUCGAUAGGUAACCUGCGGAAUCGGGUACUGGAGUCGCCGUCAUCGUCGUCCGCUCUCGUCCGAGCAGGAGUGCAGCCUGUGCGCGCUGGAGCACGUCCAGCCCAAUACGAUACCAGGAAACGACGCGACGUAUUGGUCAUUUUCUUAGCCAGCACGUUGAACGCUUCGGCGAAUACGCGUUUCGUGCUUCCGCGUUACCGAAGAAGUUCUCGACCGCAGCGCGGUCUCAUGGUUUUCUACCAAAGAUCGUCCGCAUGUGCGAUUUCGACGCUCGUUUUCGCUUUGAAUCAAGAAUGCAAUGCAUCCGUCUUCGCUCAGUACGGUGCUCCGAGCGUCUAGAUGGGCAAUGAGUGCGCCUAUCCGCUUGGUAAUAUGCCUGCUGGCGUCGUGCAUGCGUGACUCCCGACAAAAUCCUGGCAUGGAAAAGAAGAGCAGCAUCAUUUGCUUCCCGUUCAGAUCUUCGGGUCCGUCCUCAUGAUUUAGAAGUACGACAACGGCCAAGACAUCUUUCAACUCAGGAGUUUUACGCUCUAUCAAAUCUUUCUCUUCAUCUACCUGGAUCAGUUGAACAUGAGUUUCGUUGGUUUUCUUAUAACUAGGUUUCAUAAAGUGCAUGCAGAUAGAUAUUCCAU